UGCGGGGUUGUUCAUGGUUCGUUCGCCAUGACUCAUAACCUGAAGGUCACAGGUUCAAAUCCUGUCCCCGCAACCA
This 76-nucleotide transfer RNA is filed under the name Pseudorhodobacter sp. RNAcentral's name for it is "tRNA-Met". It matches the Rfam family "tRNA". From Rfam's summary of the family: Transfer RNA (tRNA) molecules are approximately 80 nucleotides in length. Lineage: Bacteria; Pseudomonadati; Pseudomonadota; Alphaproteobacteria; Rhodobacterales; Paracoccaceae. The record is from RNAcentral.